Molecule: ribosomal RNA, 450 nt
Filed under: uncultured bacterium
Lineage: Bacteria
Description: partial 16S ribosomal RNA
Rfam family: Bacterial small subunit ribosomal RNA
Source: RNAcentral
GUGGGGAAUCUUCCGCAAUGGACGAAAGUCUGACGGAGCAACGCCGCGUGAGUGAUGAAGGUCUUCGGAUUGUAAAGCUCUGUUAAUCGGGACGAAAGAGCCUAGUGUGAAUAAUGCUAGGAAGUGACGGUACCGGAAUAGAAAGCCACGGCUAACUACGUGCCAGCAGCCGCGGUAAUACGUAGGUGGCAAGCGUUGUCCGGAAUUAUUGGGCGUAAAGCGCGCGCAGUCGGAUCUGCCAGUCUGUCUUAAAAGUUCGGGGCUUAACCCCGUGAUGGGAUGGAAACUGCAGAUCUAGAGUAUCGGAGAGGAAAGUGGAAUUCCUAGUGUAGCGGUGAAAUGCGUAGAUAUUAGGAAGAACACCAGUGGCGAAGGCGACUUUCUGGACGAAAACUGACGCUGAGGCGCGAAAGCCAGGGGAGCGAACGGGAUUAGAAACCCCGGUAGUCC